AACGAACGCUGGCGGCAUGCCUAACACAUGCAAGUCGAACGAGACCUUCGGGUCUAGUGGCGCACGGGUGCGUAACGCGUGGGAACCUGCCCUUAGGUUCGGAAUAACUCCUCGAAAGGGGUGCUAAUACCGGAUAAUGUCUUCGGACCAAAGAUUUAUCGCCUUUGGAUGGGCCCGCGUUGGAUUAGCUAGUUGGUAGGGUAAAAGCCUACCAAGGCGACGAUCCAUAGCUGGUCUGAGAGGAUGAUCAGCCACACUGGGACUGAGACACGGCCCAGACUCCUACGGGAGGCAGCAGUGGGGAAUAUUGGACAAUGGGCGAAAGCCUGAUCCAGCAAUGCCGCGUGAGUGAUGAAGGCCUUAGGGUUGUAAAGCUCUUUGACCCGGGAUGAUAAUGACAGUACCGGGAGAAUAAGCUCCGGCUAACUCC
Molecule: ribosomal RNA, 430 nt
Filed under: uncultured bacterium
Lineage: Bacteria
Description: partial 16S ribosomal RNA
Rfam family: Bacterial small subunit ribosomal RNA
Source: RNAcentral